RNA transcript from Theobroma umbraticum, 3025 nucleotides. It is a transcript of the gene named HAUS augmin-like complex subunit, with no coding region annotated. Lineage: Eukaryota; Viridiplantae; Streptophyta; Magnoliopsida; Malvales; Malvaceae. The record is from RefSeq and is a predicted model, not a curated record.
CUUUCUCAAAAUUAAAAUCGAACCCCGAUUCAAAAACCCACCAUUUCUAAAUUUCCAUUUUCGAUCUUCUCAAAAGAAAAUUUUCCGAGAAAGAGAGAGAGAGAGAUAGAGAGUGGGAGAUGACAAUGGACAGAGAGAAGGAGAGAGAGAUAGAGCUCGAAAGUGCAAUGUACACGAAUUGCUUGCUUUUAGGUUUGGAUCCGUCGAUAAUAGGACUCGGAGCCUCCAACGGAACCCCUCGGGUCGGACUAUUCCGUCAUUCUAACCCUAAAUUAGGCGAACAGCUUCUUUACUUCAUCCUCUCUUCUCUUCGUGGCCCCACUCAAUCCGCCAGAGAUUUCGAUAGAGUUUGGCCGAUUUUUGACUCAGCGCAAUCUCGUGAUUUUCGAAAGGUUGUGCAAGGGAUAAUUAGUGAGCUGGAAGCACAAGGAGCUCUACCGAGGAGUAAUUCGAGGGUUUCUUCGCUUGCUACUUGCUGUGGACCAAGAUUUGUUGAGCUUUUGUGGCAACUUUCAUUGCAUGCUUUGAGAGAGGUUCAUAGACGGACUUUUUCAGCUGAUGUUGCUUCUAACCCAUUGCCUGCACCCUUGACUGAUGUUGCAUUUUCACAUGCUGCUACACUGCUUCCAGUGACAAAGGCUAGAAUAGCACUUGAAAGGAGGAGAUUUCUGAAAAAUGCAGAAACAGCUGUGCAGAGACAGGCUAUGUGGUCAAAUUUGGCUCAUGAAAUGACUGCAGAGUUUCGUGGUCUUUGUGCUGAGGAGGCUUAUCUGCAGCAGGAGCUCGAAAAACUACAUGACUUGAGGAACAAAGUGAAGUUGGAAGGGGAGCUAUGGGAUGAUCUUGUCUCUACUUCAAGUCAGAAUUCUCAUUUGGUUUCAAAGGCCACUCGGUUAUGGGAGUCUAUAUUAGCUCGUAAAAGUCAGCAUGAAGUUCUUGCUUCAGGCCCUAUUGAAGAUUUGAUAGCUCAUCGGGAGCAUAGGUACCGCAUCUCCGGAUCAUCUUUGCUUGCAGCCUUGGAUCAGAGUUCUCAAGCUCCUUAUACAGACGUCUUAUCCAUUCAGUCUGGUGAUAUGGAUGAUAAAGAACAGAAUGAUGGAUAUCACGCACAGGUCAAUGAAGAGACACUUUCUCGGGUAGAUGAUAGAAGUGGAAGAGUCCACCAGACUGUUGACGUAGCAGAAAUUAUCAGACGUUGGACGCAUGCGUUACAACGCAUUCAUAAACAGUCACUUCAGCUGGCAAAAGCUAAUGACGGAGAGGGUCCUGAUAUCUUACGAAGUGCACAUGAUGGUAGCACAAGUGGGCAUGCUGAGUCAUUAGCUGCAACUCUUGCUGAGCAUCAACAGCACCUGGCUAGCUUUCAGGUGCUUAUUAACCAAUUAAAGGAAGUUGCUCCAGCAAUUCAGAAGUCAAUAUCAGAGUGUACAGAGAAAGUGAAUUGUGUUUCCUCCAACUUGCCAUCUAUGGGCAAGCAUCGUGGUCAAGCCAGCUCACCUAUUCAAGCUCAGAGCAGUGGAAGGACCUUGGAAAGUAGCUCUGAUGAUGUCAGUGACAUUACUUCCAAAAUGUCUACUGUUCAGCUAGACAAGGUUUCAGCUAGUCCUCCUGCUUUAAAGCUCCCUCAGUUAUUUAGUUUAACCCCAAAUUCAUCUGGAAAAGGUGGAAACAUGCAAAAGCGACAUACUUUAGCUCCUCAGACCAACCAAACGGAAAUUUUGUCCGAAAGGAACUCUGUAGACCAGCCUCUACCAAACAAUCGCCUAGAUAGCCCACCCCAAGAUAGUGACAAUUCUUAUGUUCAGAACUUAAAGAGAUCUGUGAGGCAAGCUGCACUGUCAAUGCCAUCCUGCAAUUCAGAGUCAUCACGAGACAGUCAAUCUGAUGAAAGUUCUGAACACUUCUUUGUACCUGUAUCAUCAACAAAGUUUUCUCGUGGGGGGCCAGAAAGUAAAGUGAGCUCGAUAAGGACUAAGAGAUUGUUUUCAACUCAAACAGACAAUUCCUUGCUUGACAGCCAUGGUGGCAAUGGUCAUAUUGGGAGUAACUAUGAUGACUUGCCACACAUGCUGAACAAUCUGGAUUCCCUUAAUGAUUUUGAUCAAGUAAAUGGAUUUCUCUCAGCUGCUGCUUCAAGUUGUACCGCUUCGGAUGGGCAAAGGUCAUUUUUUGACAUGGAAGAAGCUCAGGAUCAGGUCUUCUCCCCUCCUUUGCUGAUGGACACAUCCCUGUUAGCUGAUUCUUAUGAGGAUUUGCUGGCUCCCCUUUCAGAAACCGAAACUGCCUUGAUGGAGCAUUGAGACUGGAGUUUGGACGAUUCUGUUCAGAUGGUUUUGUAUUUUGAUCCUUGGUUGGGAUGUGCAGCACUCUCACAUUGAUUUGUUGUAUGACACGAUGCUUGUAUGUACUUCCAGAGAUGGAUGCACAAUGGGGGCAGCUGCCCCCACUGAUAUCUUAAAGACUUCUUGGAAUGUUGAGGAGUUCUUCGGUAUGAGCACUUUGGUAAGAUCCCUCUUUGAAGCCUCUUGCUUUUUGGGUCACAAUAUGAAGAUAAAAGAGAGACGUUAACUUAUUUUUACUCAUUAGAUCUUAUUUUUCUGUACAUGUUGGACACUUUCAUUCAUGCACAAAAUGACAGGUGACGUUUGUUGCCUGCCAAUCAGGUUUAUUGACUCUGUAUUGUUUAGAUUACUAUGACUGUGAAUUUGUAAAAUGGUGUACAUAACCUUAGCAUUGAUCCCUUUCGGUUUCAGAUUUGAUAUAUGUUUGACCUUUUCUUCUGUGCUGUGCUUGAAGAUGUGGACUUCCCAUUUUGGUCACCAGGUCCGACGUGUAAUGAGUGAUUUGGAUUGUGAUCCUUCACCAACUUCGUACUCAUUGGAUUUCACAGGUGAAUUAUUUAGAAGUUAUAUCAAAUUGUAUAAUUUCUAAAGAGGUCGGAAGAAAAUAUAAUUUAAUUUUUUAAUUUUAAUUGUUAUUAUUAUAAUAUUAUUUGUCAUUUUUAUGUUAUACGGUGACGACGUGA